RNAcentral lists this ribosomal RNA (534 nucleotides) under Triticum aestivum (bread wheat). RNAcentral's name for it is "partial small subunit ribosomal RNA". The record is from RNAcentral. Lineage: Eukaryota; Viridiplantae; Streptophyta; Magnoliopsida; Poales; Poaceae.
AUGGGGUCCUGCCCUUCGGUCAAGAACAUCCUCGUGCUGGACGCGGAGGGGAAGCGCGUGGCCGUCAAGUACUACGCCGACGACUGGCCCUCCGCGGCCUCCAAGUUGGCUUUCGAGAAGUCGCUCUUCGUGAAGACCCAGAAGACCAGCGCCAGAGCAGAGGCUGAUGUGGUAAUGUUUGAUGGCUACAUUAUUGUGUACAAGUUCAUCCAAGAUCUCCAUUUUUUUGUAACUGGAGGGGAUGAGGAGAAUGAGCUCAUUUUAGCGUCAGUUCUUCAGGGGUUUUCUGAUGCUGUUGGCGUUCUUCUCAGAAACAAUGUAGACAAAAGGACUGCACUUGAAAAUCUGGAUCUCAUCUUUUUGUGCCUUGACGAAGUUGUUGAUGGAGGGAUUGUUCUGGAAACGGAUGGAAAUGUGAUAGCCGAGAAGGUGUCAGGCCAUGGAUUGGAAGGAGCUGGGUCGUUCACUGAGCAGACGAUAAGCCAAGCCCUAGCGACAGCAAGAGAGCACUUCGCGAGGUCUCUUCUGAAGUAG